GAAAGCCUAAAACCGAAAAUUUAUUCCCUCGUAGCUGCCGAUGUUCUCCAGACUCUGUUCACUGGCGCGAAACUUGGGAUUCAUUCCGCCGCCCAAGUCCACCGCGAACUCGCCGCCGGCGUCCUAGUCUGCUCAUCCAUUUUCACUGUUGUCCUUCCCUUACACGAAAAAUGGUCUACAGAUCCAUGGCAGCAGGUCUCAAUCCCAAUCCCAACAGUCUUUAUCUCAACAUCAUCUGGAUCAUACGCACUGGAACAGAUAUUACAGGUACUUCUGGAUCAUUUCUACGACUAGUUUGUCACAACUCAUAGUGUAUUAACUGUGUAAAUGAUGAUCAAAUGAUGACUUUGAGGUUAGUUAUUUUACUAUCCUUUCUCUGAGGAUUUUGAGAAUGAAAACAAAAAUGAAACUGUUUGUAAAGACCAAAAUGAAAAAGAUUAACUUUAUACAGUAUACAUACAACUAA
Dendrobium catenatum is the source of this 466-nucleotide long non-coding RNA. RefSeq lists it as uncharacterized. The record is from RefSeq and is a predicted model, not a curated record. NCBI's taxonomy places the organism in Eukaryota, Viridiplantae, Streptophyta, Magnoliopsida, Asparagales, Orchidaceae. The transcript has 2 exons.